This 253-nucleotide ribosomal RNA is filed under the name uncultured bacterium. RNAcentral's name for it is "partial 16S ribosomal RNA". It matches the Rfam family "Bacterial small subunit ribosomal RNA", at positions 524 to 776 of the family's 1533-position model. The record is from RNAcentral.
UACAGAGGUGGCAAGCGUUGUUCGGAAUUACUGGGCGUAAAGGGCGCGUGGGCGGUUCGUUAAGUCCUGUGUGAAAUCCCCCGGCUCAACUGGGGAACUGCACAGGAAACUAGCGGGCUUGAGUUCGGGAGAGGGAAGCGGAAUUCCGGGUGUAGCGGUGAAAUGCGUAGAUAUCCGGAGGAACACCGGUGGCGAAGGCGGCUUCCUGGACCGACACUGACGCUGAGGCGCGAAAGCUAGGGGAGCAAACGGG